UACGGAGGGGGCUAGCGUUGUUCGGAAUUACUGGGCGUAAAGGGCUCGUAGGCGGCCAACUAAGUCAGACGUGAAAUCCCCUCGGCUUAACCGGGGAACUGCGUCUGAUACUGGAUGGCUUGAGAUUGGGAGAGGGAUGCGGAAUUCCAGGUGUAGCGGUGAAAUGCGUAGAUAUCUGGAGGAACACCGGUGGCGAAGGCGGCAUCCUGGCCCGAUACUGACGCUGAGGCACGAAAGCGUGGGGAGCAAACAGG
RNAcentral lists this ribosomal RNA (254 nucleotides) under uncultured bacterium. Its description in RNAcentral is "partial 16S ribosomal RNA". It matches the Rfam family "Bacterial small subunit ribosomal RNA", at positions 524 to 776 of the family's 1533-position model. The record is from RNAcentral.